Molecule: ribosomal RNA, 850 nt
Filed under: marine metagenome
Description: bacterial SSU rRNA
Rfam family: Bacterial small subunit ribosomal RNA
Source: RNAcentral
UGAAUUUCUGUGUAGCGUGAAAUGCGUAGAUAUCAGAAGGACAUCAAUGGCGAAGGCAGCUUUCUGGACCCAAUACUGACGCUGAGGUACGAAAGCGUGGGUAGCAAACAGGAUUAGAUACCCUGGUAGUCCACGCCGUAAACGAUGAUAACUAGCCGUUGGGGGGAUUUACCCUUUAGUGGCGAAGCUAACGCGUUAAGUUAUCCGCCUGGGGAGUACGGCCGCAAGGUUAAAACUCAAAGGAAUUGACGGGGACCCGCACAAGCGGUGGAGCAUGUGGUUUAAUUCGAUGCAACGCGAAGAACCUUACCUGGUCUUGACAUCCUGCGAACUUUCUAGAAAUAGAUUGGUGCCUUCGGGAACGCAGUGACAGGUGCUGCAUGGCUGUCGUCAGCUCGUGUCGUGAGAUGUUGGGUUAAGUCCCGUAACGAGCGCAACCCCUAUCCUUAUUUGCCAGCACAUCAUGGUGGGAACUAUAAGGAGACUGCCGGUGAUAAACCGGAGGAAGGCGGGGACGACGUCAAGUCAUCAUGGCCCUUACGACCAGGGCUACACACGUGCUACAAUGGGAAGGACAAAGAGCCGCGAAGCCGCGAGGUGUAGCUAAUCUCAUAAACCUUUUCGUAGUCCGGAUUGGAGUCUGCAACUCGACUCCAUGAAGUCGGAAUCGCUAGUAAUCGUAGAUCAGAAUGCUACGGUGAAUACGUUCCCGGGUCUUGUACACACCGCCCGUCAUACCAUGGGAGUGGGUUGCACCAGAAGUGGCUAGUCUAACUUUAUUGAGGACGGUCACCACGGUGUGAUUCAUGACUGGGGUAAAGUCGUAACAAGGUAGCCCUACCGGAAGGUG